Molecule: long non-coding RNA, 1859 nt
Filed under: Sus scrofa (pig)
Lineage: Eukaryota; Metazoa; Chordata; Mammalia; Artiodactyla; Suidae
Description: lncRNA (ENSSSCG00005044405.1)
Source: RNAcentral
UUUUUUUUUUUUGCUUUUUUAGGGCCACAUCCACAGCACAUGGAGGUUCCCAGGCUACGGGUCAAAUCAGAGCUGUGGCAGCCAGCCUAUACCACAGCCACAGCAACGUAGGAUCCAAGCCGUGUCUUCGACCUACACCACAGCUCACAGCAAUGCCGGAUCUGUAACCCACUAAGCAAGGCCAGCGAUCGAACCUGCAACCUCAUGGUUCCUCGUCGGAUCUGUUUCCACACACCACGUGGGGAACUCUUAUGAUUUCUUUUUUUGUCUUUUUUUUUUUUAGGGCUGCAGCUGCAGCAUAUGGAAGUUCCCAGGCCAGGGGUCUAAGUGGACCUACCCCUGUCUGCCUGCACUGAUAGCCACAGCAACACUGGAUCCAAGCAGUGUCUGCGACCUACACCACAGCUCAAAGCAACGCCAUAUCCUUAAUCCUCUGAAAGAGGCCAGGGAUUGAACCUACGUCUUCACGGAUACUAGUCAGAUUCAUCAUCACUGAGCCAUGAGGGGAACUCCCUACUCUAAUAAAAUUUUUAAAAGACAAAUAAAAACAGAAUAAAUGGGAAAUGACGCUAUUAGCUAAAAUGAAUAAAUAUGUAUUAUUAAUUGAAAAAACAAUUAUUAAACAUCCUUCUAUAAUGUGCUAGACAGUGUAAGGCACUGCAUAUACAAAGAUGAAUAAAGAAUAAAAUGUCUCUUUUCAUGAAGCUCAUAGACCACAUGGGAUGAAUGAUAAUUACCAAGAAAAUAUUAAAAGGCUAAAUUUUUACUUAGAAAAUGAUUUAAUUUAAUAGCAUCUGAAAGUAUGAAAAACACAUAAAAAUAAGCUCUCUUAUAUUAAAGAAAAAUGUCUCCCCUGGAAGAAAGGGUAUGAAUUAGAAGAGCAAUUCUCAUUUGAGUUCAGGGCGUGAUAUCUGGGCCUGCUGUUACCGAGGAGCCCAGAGAGCCUUGGUUUAAAUAGAUUAUACAUAUUUAAUGUUGGAAAUUAAAAGGAUUUUUUUUUUUUUUUUUUGUCUUUUUUAGGGCCACGCCCAUGGCAUAUGGAGCGGCCCAAGAAAUGGCAAAAAGACAAAAAAAAAAAAGCCAUUCUAGCAUACUAAGCAUUCAUGUUAAAUGAAGAUAAAUAAGUAUUCAUCAUAGGUGUCAGAAGGGAAUCUUACAAUAUUACUACAGUCUGGCUAUGAUUUACCAAAAAUGCAUUUUUUUUCAAACUUGACAGAUUAGGUCUGUAUUUACAAUAUAGUCUUUUUGUGAGGAGACAUUAUGUGUACCAGACAUUAUGCCUGACGAUGUUAUACAAAAUAUAUGUGACAGCUUUUGAAACCAAGUAGCUGUGUUAGGAAAAAUAGAUGGGACCACAACUAAUUAUAAUGCAAAGUAGUAAGUGCUAUUACAGUGGGACUUGUACAGAAAUACGGAAAAGACGGUGGUGGGGUUAAGGAGGAGGUUGGGGUUGCACAGAGACAGAUAGUGACAUUUGACUUAGAUCUUGAAGUAGGAUUUCACCAAGUAAAAGGGAGAGUAAGGGCAUCCAGGCAAAAGAAGCCACAUGAACAAAACUACCGAUGCCUGAGAGCCCAUUGCAAAUUUGGGAACAUAGAAGUUCCCAGAGAAAUUAUGUCAACUAGAAAGACAGGCUGGGGCAAAAUGGAAAGAUUCCUAAGGCCAUAUUAAGGAAAAGUUUAGCCUUGAUCCUACAGUCAACAGGGAGCCAGCAAAGGAUUUUUUAAGCAGAAAUGUAACAUAAUGAGACAGGUAUGCUAGAAAGAAAAAGAGAGAGACUCUGAUAGCAGCGCAGAAAAUUGGAACAAAGUGAGGAAAGACUACAGGGAAGAGGACAAGUCCAAUGAUCUUGGUAGGAA